GGGUGGUGCUAGUGUGGACAGGCCGGGAACCAGGAGGCCGAGAAGGGAAUCGGGGCCAGUCUGGCCCACACGUGGACAGCAGCGGUGAGCAGCAAGGCCGGUCCAAGCU
RNAcentral lists this long non-coding RNA (109 nucleotides) under Canis lupus familiaris (dog). RNAcentral describes it as "lncRNA (ENSCAFG00040022810.1)". Lineage: Eukaryota; Metazoa; Chordata; Mammalia; Carnivora; Canidae. The record is from RNAcentral.